This 2922-nucleotide ribosomal RNA is filed under the name Klebsiella pneumoniae. Its description in RNAcentral is "bacterial LSU rRNA". It matches the Rfam family "Bacterial large subunit ribosomal RNA". The record is from RNAcentral. Lineage: Bacteria; Pseudomonadati; Pseudomonadota; Gammaproteobacteria; Enterobacterales; Enterobacteriaceae.
GGGUUGUGAGGUUAAGCGACUAAGCGUACACGGUGGAUGCCCUGGCAGUCAGAGGCGAUGAAGGACGUGCUAAUCUGCGAAAAGCGUCGGUAAGGUGAUAUGAACCGUUAUAACCGGCGAUGUCCGAAUGGGGAAACCCAGUGCAAUUCGUUGCACUAUCGUUAACUGAAUACAUAGGUUAACGAGGCGAACCGGGGGAACUGAAACAUCUAAGUACCCCGAGGAAAAGAAAUCAACCGAGAUUCCCCCAGUAGCGGCGAGCGAACGGGGAGCAGCCCAGAGUCUGAAUCAGCUUGUGUGUUAGUGGAACGGUCUGGAAAGUCCGACGGUACAGGGUGAUAGUCCCGUACACCAAAAUGCACAGGCUGUGAACUCGAAGAGUAGGGCGGGACACGUGGUAUCCUGUCUGAAUAUGGGGGGACCAUCCUCCAAGGCUAAAUACUCCUGACUGACCGAUAGUGAACCAGUACCGUGAGGGAAAGGCGAAAAGAACCCCGGCGAGGGGAGUGAAAAAGAACCUGAAACCGUGUACGUACAAGCAGUGGGAGCACCUUCGGGUGUGACUGCGUACCUUUUGUAUAAUGGGUCAGCGACUUAUAUUCUGUAGCAAGGUUAACCGUAUAGGGGAGCCGCAGGGAAACCGAGUCUUAACUGGGCGUUAAGUUGCAGGGUAUAGACCCGAAACCCGGUGAUCUAGCCAUGGGCAGGUUGAAGGUUGGGUAACACUAACUGGAGGACCGAACCGACUAAUGUUGAAAAAUUAGCGGAUGACUUGUGGCUGGGGGUGAAAGGCCAAUCAAACCGGGAGAUAGCUGGUUCUCCCCGAAAGCUAUUUAGGUAGCGCCUCGUGAACUCAUCUUCGGGGGUAGAGCACUGUUUCGGCUAGGGGGUCAUCCCGACUUACCAACCCGAUGCAAACUACGAAUACCGAAGAAUGUUAUCACGGGAGACACACGGCGGGUGCUAACGUCCGUCGUGAAGAGGGAAACAACCCAGACCGCCAGCUAAGGUCCCAAAGUCAUGGUUAAGUGGGAAACGAUGUGGGAAGGCACAGACAGCCAGGAUGUUGGCUUAGAAGCAGCCAUCAUUUAAAGAAAGCGUAAUAGCUCACUGGUCGAGUCGGCCUGCGCGGAAGAUGUAACGGGGCUAAACCAUGCACCGAAGCUGCGGCAGCGACACUAUGUGUUGUUGGGUAGGGGAGCGUUCUGUAAGCCUGCGAAGGUGUGCUGUGAGGCAUGCUGGAGGUAUCAGAAGUGCGAAUGCUGACAUAAGUAACGAUAAAGCGGGUGAAAAGCCCGCUCGCCGGAAGACCAAGGGUUCCUGUCCAACGUUAAUCGGGGCAGGGUGAGUCGACCCCUAAGGCGAGGCCGAAAGGCGUAGUCGAUGGGAAACAGGUUAAUAUUCCUGUACUUGGUGUUACUGCGAAGGGGGACGGAGAAGGCUAUGUUAGCCGGGCGACGGUUGUCCCGGUUUAAGCAUGUAGGCUGGUUAUCCAGGCAAAUCCGGAUAAUCAAGGCUGAGGUGUGAUGACGAGGCACUACGGUGCUGAAGUAACAAAUGCCCUGCUUCCAGGAAAAGCCUCUAAGCAUCAGGUAACAUCAAAUCGUACCCCAAACCGACACAGGUGGUCAGGUAGAGAAUACCAAGGCGCUUGAGAGAACUCGGGUGAAGGAACUAGGCAAAAUGGUGCCGUAACUUCGGGAGAAGGCACGCUGGUGUGUAGGUGAAGUCCCUGCGGAUGGAGCUGAGACCAGUCGAAGAUACCAGCUGGCUGCAACUGUUUAUUAAAAACACAGCACUGUGCAAACACGAAAGUGGACGUAUACGGUGUGACGCCUGCCCGGUGCCGGAAGGUUAAUUGAUGGGGUUAUCCGUAAGGAGAAGCUCUUGAUCGAAGCCCCGGUAAACGGCGGCCGUAACUAUAACGGUCCUAAGGUAGCGAAAUUCCUUGUCGGGUAAGUUCCGACCUGCACGAAUGGCGUAAUGAUGGCCAGGCUGUCUCCACCCGAGACUCAGUGAAAUUGAACUCGCUGUGAAGAUGCAGUGUACCCGCGGCAAGACGGAAAGACCCCGUGAACCUUUACUAUAGCUUGACACUGAACAUUGAGCCUUGAUGUGUAGGAUAGGUGGGAGGCUUUGAAGCGUGGACGCCAGUCUGCGUGGAGCCAACCUUGAAAUACCACCCUUUAAUGUUUGAUGUUCUAACGUUGGCCCCUGACCGGGGUUGCGGACAGUGUCUGGUGGGUAGUUUGACUGGGGCGGUCUCCUCCCAAAGCGUAACGGAGGAGCACGAAGGUUAGCUAAUCCUGGUCGGACAUCAGGAGGUUAGUGCAAUGGCAUAAGCUAGCUUGACUGCGAGCGUGACGGCGCGAGCAGGUGCGAAAGCAGGUCAUAGUGAUCCGGUGGUUCUGAAUGGAAGGGCCAUCGCUCAACGGAUAAAAGGUACUCCGGGGAUAACAGGCUGAUACCGCCCAAGAGUUCAUAUCGACGGCGGUGUUUGGCACCUCGAUGUCGGCUCAUCACAUCCUGGGGCUGAAGUAGGUCCCAAGGGUAUGGCUGUUCGCCAUUUAAAGUGGUACGCGAGCUGGGUUUAGAACGUCGUGAGACAGUUCGGUCCCUAUCUGCCGUGGGCGCUGGAGAAUUGAGGGGGGCUGCUCCUAGUACGAGAGGACCGGAGUGGACGCAUCACUGGUGUUCGGGUUGUCAUGCCAAUGGCACUGCCCGGUAGCUAAAUGCGGAAGAGAUAAGUGCUGAAAGCAUCUAAGCACGAAACUUGCCCCGAGAUGAGUUCUCCCUGAGACUUUAAGUCUCCUGAAGGAACGUUAAAGACGAUGACGUUGAUAGGCCGGGUGUGUAAGCGCAGCGAUGCGUUGAGCUAACCGGUACUAAUGAACCGUGAGGCUUAACCUUACAACGCCGAAG